This 1377-nucleotide ribosomal RNA is filed under the name uncultured bacterium. RNAcentral describes it as "bacterial SSU rRNA". It matches the Rfam family "Bacterial small subunit ribosomal RNA", at positions 27 to 1395 of the family's 1533-position model. The record is from RNAcentral.
GAUUGAACGCUGGCGGUAUGCUUAACACAUGCAAGUCGAACGGAAACGAUACUAGCUUGCUAGUAGGCGUCGAGUGGCGGACGGGUGAGUAACGCGUAGGGAUCUGCCUGAUAGUGGGGGAUAGCCCGAAGAAAUUCGGAUUAAUACCGCAUAAUCUAUUCGUAGUAAAGUGGGGGACUUUCGAGCCUCACGCUAUCAGAUGAGCCUGCGUAAGAUUAGCUAGUUGGUAGGGUAAAAGCCUACCAAGGCAACGAUCUUUAGCUGGUCUGAGAGGAUGAUCAGCCACAUCGGGACUGAGACACGGCCCGAACUCCUACGGGAGGCAGCAGUGGGGAAUAUUGGACAAUGGGGGCAACCCUGAUCCAGCAAUACCGCGUGUGUGAAGAAGGCCUGAGGGUUGUAAAGCACUUUCAAUUGUGAAGAAAAGUUAACGGUUAAUAACCGUUAGCCUUGACGUUAACUUUAGAAGAAGCACCGGCUAACUCCGUGCCAGCAGCCGCGGUAAUACGGAGGGUGCAAGCGUUAAUCGGAAUUACUGGGCGUAAAGCGUGCGUAGGCGGUUUAUUAAGUCAGAUGUGAAAGCCCCGGGCUUAACCUGGGAACUGCAUUUGAAACUGGUCAACUAGAGUAUGGUAGAGGAAAGUGGAAUUUCUGGUGUAGCGGUGAAAUGCGUAGAUAUCAGAAGGAACAUCAAUGGCGAAGGCAGCUUUCUGGACCAAUACUGACGCUGAGGUACGAAAGCGUGGGUAGCAAACAGGAUUAGAUACCCUGGUAGUCCACGCCGUAAACGAUGAUAACUAGCCGUUGGGGGGAUUUACCCUUUAGUGGCGAAGCUAACGCGUUAAGUUAUCCGCCUGGGGAGUACGGCCGCAAGGUUAAAACUCAAAGGAAUUGACGGGGACCCGCACAAGCGGUGGAGCAUGUGGUUUAAUUCGAUGCAACGCGAAGAACCUUACCUGGUCUUGACAUCCUGCGAACUUUCUAGAAAUAGAUUGGUGCCUUCGGGAACGCAGUGACAGGUGCUGCAUGGCUGUCGUCAGCUCGUGUCGUGAGAUGUUGGGUUAAGUCCCGUAACGAGCGCAACCCCUAUCCUUAUUUGCCAGCACGUCAUGGUGGGAACUAUAAGGAGACUGCCGGUGAUAAACCGGAGGAAGGCGGGGACGACGUCAAGUCAUCAUGGCCCUUACGACCAGGGCUACACACGUGCUACAAUGGGAAGGACAAAGAGCCGCGAAGCCGCGAGGUGUAGCUAAUCUCAGAAACCUUUUCGUAGUCCGGAUUGGAGUCUGCAACUCGACUCCAUGAAGUCGGAAUCGCUAGUAAUCGUAGAUCAGAAUGCUACGGUGAAUACGUUCCCGGGUCUUGUACACACCGCCC